GAUGAACGCUGGCGGCGUGCCUAAUACAUGCAAGUCGAGCGAACAGAUAAGGAGCUUGCUCCUUUGACGUUAGCGGCGGACUGGUGAGUAACACGUGGGUAACCUACCUAUAAGACUGGAAUAACUCCGGGAAACCGGGGCUAAUGCCGGAUAACAUUUAGAACCGCAUGGUUCUAAAGUGAAAGAUGGUUUUGCUAUCACUUAUAGAUGGACCCGCGCCGUAUUAGCUAGUUGGUAAGGUAACGGCUUACCAAGGCAACGAUACGUAGCCGACCUGAGAGGGUGAUCGGCCACACUGGAACUGAGACACGGUCCAGACUCCUACGGGAGGCAGCAGUAGGGAAUCUUCCGCAAUGGGCGAAAGCCUGACGGAGCAACGCCGCGUGAGUGAUGAAGGUCUUCGGAUCGUAAAACUCUGUUAUUAGGGAAGAACAAAUGUGUAAGUAACUGUGCACGUCUUGACGGUACCUAAUCAGAAAGCCACGGCUAACUACGUG
Molecule: ribosomal RNA, 497 nt
Filed under: uncultured bacterium
Lineage: Bacteria
Description: partial 16S ribosomal RNA
Rfam family: Bacterial small subunit ribosomal RNA
Source: RNAcentral